Molecule: ribosomal RNA, 404 nt
Filed under: uncultured bacterium
Lineage: Bacteria
Description: bacterial SSU rRNA
Rfam family: Bacterial small subunit ribosomal RNA
Source: RNAcentral
GGGGCGAACGGGUGAGGAGCACGUGAAGAAUCUGCCCUCCACUUUGGGAUAACUCCGGGAAACCGGGGCUAAUACCGAAUAUUGAAGCAUAAGCGGCAUCGCUGAGCUUUGAAAGAAUUUCGGUGGAGGAUGACUUCGCGGCCUAUCAGCUUGUUGGUGAGGUAAUGGCUCACCAAGGCUACGACGGGUAUCCGGCCUGAGAGGGCGACCGGACACACUGGGACUGAGACACGGCCCAGACUCCUACGGGAGGCAGCAGUGGGGAAUAUUGGGCAAUGGACGCAAGUCUGACCCAGCGACGCCGCGUGAGGGAUGAAGGCCUUCGGGUUGUAAACCUCUUUCAGUAGGGAAGAAGCGAAAGUGACGGUACCUACAAAGAAGCACCGGCUAACUAUGUGUCUGUG